AGUAAAAGUCGUAACAAGGUUUCCGUAGGUGAACCUGCGGAAGGAUCAUUACAUUUUCACAACAACGAUGGCGUCGUCCUUAGAACCGUCUCCGUGCGGCUCGGGGCGGCGUUUCAUCGGCGGGCACGUCGCGGCUUCCUGUUUUUAAAAGGAGGACGGAGUAAGAGAUUAGUCGGCUCGCUGCUACCUCUUCCGUCACAUACUCCUCAGGAAGUAAUCCCGUCUAGAACGGACUCACGCGGGGUCGUCUGAAUCCUUAACUUUACGAGAACUCCCCAUACUCCUUCGGUGGGGUGACCUGCCGUUGGAACCAACAAAAACCUUUUUUUGCAUCUAAUAUUACCUGUUCUGAUACAAACAAUCGUUACAACUUUCAACAAUGGAUCUCUUGGCUCUGGCAUCGAUGAAGAACGCAGCGAAAUGCGAUAAGUAGUGUGAAUUGCAGAAUUCAGUGAAUCAUCGAAUCUUUGAACGCACAUUGCGCCCCUUGGUAUUCCAUGGGGCAUGCCUGUUCGAGCGUCAUCUACACCCUCAAGCUCUGCUUGGUGUUGGGCGUCUGUCCCGCCUCCGCGCGUGGACUCGCCCCAAAUUCAUUGGCAGCGGUCUUCUUGCCCCCUCUCGCGCAGCACAUUGCGCUUCUCGAGGGCGGCGGGCCGCGUCCACGAAGCAACAUUCACCGUCUUUGACCUCGGAUCAGGUAGGGAUACCCGCUGAACUUAAGCAUAUCAAUAAGCGGAGGAAAAGAAACCAACAGGGAUUGCCCUAGUAACG
This 771-nucleotide ribosomal RNA is filed under the name uncultured fungus. RNAcentral describes it as "eukaryotic LSU rRNA". The stretch from base 369 to 522 matches the Rfam family "5.8S ribosomal RNA". The record is from RNAcentral. Lineage: Eukaryota; Fungi.